CAGCAGCCGCGGGAACACGGAGGGGGCUAGCGUUGUUCGGAAUUACUGGGCGUAAAGCGCACGUAGGCGGCUUGGUAAGUUAGAGGUGUAAGCCUGGAGCUCAACUCCAGUAUUGCCUUUAAGACUGCCGAGCUAGCAGGUGAGAGAGGUAAGUGGAAUUCCGAGUGUAGAGGUGAAAUUCGUAGAUAUCGGAAGGAACACCUGUGGCGAAAGCGGCUCACUGGACAAUAACUGACGCUGAUGCACGAAAGCUAGGGGAGCAAACAGGAUUAGAUACCCCCGUAGUCCCUGUCUCUUAUAC
Molecule: ribosomal RNA, 301 nt
Filed under: uncultured bacterium
Lineage: Bacteria
Description: partial 16S ribosomal RNA
Rfam family: Bacterial small subunit ribosomal RNA
Source: RNAcentral